GUCUGUGAUCAUACCACCCUGAAUGCACCUAAUCUCAUUUGAUUUUGGAAGCUAAGCAGGAUUGGGCCUGGUUAGUACUUGGAUGGGAGACUGCCUUGGGAGUAGUGGGUGCUGUAGGCU
Molecule: ribosomal RNA, 120 nt
Filed under: Mustela putorius furo (domestic ferret)
Lineage: Eukaryota; Metazoa; Chordata; Mammalia; Carnivora; Mustelidae
Source: RNAcentral